Molecule: long non-coding RNA, 646 nt
Organism: Panthera uncia (snow leopard)
Lineage: Eukaryota; Metazoa; Chordata; Mammalia; Carnivora; Felidae
Exons: 3
Source: RefSeq, a predicted model, not a curated record
GCAGUAAGGCUUACGGGCGUCCCCCGCUCAGGUGGUAUCUGACCGCGUCUCCUAGGAGACCGGGAGGCGGCUGGCGGUUUUCUCAUCAACUUCAGUUCCUCUUUAGUAGGUAGGGUUCACACCCAGCACAGAGCCCAAGGCAGAGCUUGAACUCACGACCCUGAGAUCAAGACCUGAGCUGAGAUCAAGAGUUGGAUGCUUAACUGAGCCACCCCGGCACCCUGCAAGGAUCUCCUACAGCAAGCGUGUCUUCUCCAGAGCUCCAGUCUCCGCUGAACAACCCUGCUGUAGUUCCGGCUUCUGCAGAGUGACCUCAGCCCCUGGACUUAGGUCACAUCACUUUCUCCCCUUGUCCCUCUCACCUCCCUGGGUGGAGACGACUUCUUGCCAUUAGAAAGCCUGAGCCUCACCUAUCCCGUUUGGUUUCUUAACUGUUUCAUCGCCUGUGUAACGAAUUCCUCAUAUUAAAUUCUCUCGGGGGGUCUGGGGGGCCCAGCUGGUAAAGCAUCCAACUCUUGGCUUUGGCUCAGGUCAUGAUCCCAGGGUCAUGGGAUUGAGCCCGGAGCUGGGCUCCGCUCUAACAGCGUGGAACCCGCUUAAGACUCUCUCUCCCUCUGCCUCUCUCCCCGUUCGUGCUCUUUCUCUC